Molecule: ribosomal RNA, 440 nt
Filed under: uncultured bacterium
Lineage: Bacteria
Description: partial 16S ribosomal RNA
Rfam family: Bacterial small subunit ribosomal RNA
Source: RNAcentral
CCUACGGGAGGCAGCAGUGGGGAAUAUUGCACAAUGGGGGGAACCCUGAUGCAGCGACGCCGCGUGAGUGAAGAAGUGUUUCGGUACGUAAAGCUCUAUCAGCAGGGAAGAAAAUGACGGUACCUGACGAAGAAGCCCCGGCGAACUACGUGCCAGCAGCCGCGGUAAUACGUAGGGGGCAAGCGUUAUCCGGAUUUACUGGGUGUAAAGGGGGCGGAGACGGCAAUGCAGGCCUGGAGUGAAAGCCCGGGGCCCAACCCCGGGACUGCUUUUGAAACUGGGUGGCUGGAGUGCAGGAGGGGUAAGCGGAAUUCCUAGUGUAGCGGUGAAAUGCGUAGAUAUUAGGAGGAACACCAGUGGCGAAGGCGGCUUACUGGACUGUAACUGACGUUGAGGCUCGAAGGCGUGGGGAGCAAACAGGAUUAGAUACCCUAGUAGUC